GUUGAACGCUGGCGGCAGGCCUAACACAUGCAAGUCGAGCGGAUGAAGGGAGCUUGCUCCUGGAUUCAGCGGCGGACGGGUGAGUAAUGCCUAGGAAUCUGCCUGGUAGUGGGGGAUAACGUCCGGAAACGGGCGCUAAUACCGCAUACGUCCUGAGGGAGAAAGUGGGGGAUCUUCGGACCUCACGCUAUCAGAUGAGCCUAGGUCGGAUUAGCUAGUUGGUGGGGUAAAGGCCUACCAAGGCGACGAUCCGUAACUGGUCUGAGAGGAUGAUCAGUCACACUGGAACUGAGACACGGUCCAGACUCCUACGGGAGGCAGCAGUGGGGAAUAUUGGACAAUGGGCGAAAGCCUGAUCCAGCCAUGCCGCGUGUGUGAAGAAGGUCUUCGGAUUGUAAGGCACUUUAAGUUGGGAGGAAGGGCAGUAAGUUAAUACCUUGCUGUUUUGACGUUACCAACAGAAUAAGCACCGGCUAACUUCGUG
This 484-nucleotide ribosomal RNA is filed under the name uncultured bacterium. RNAcentral describes it as "partial 16S ribosomal RNA". It matches the Rfam family "Bacterial small subunit ribosomal RNA", at positions 28 to 507 of the family's 1533-position model. The record is from RNAcentral.